This is a non-coding RNA of Thioalkalivibrio denitrificans, 272 nucleotides long. The record is from Rfam. NCBI's taxonomy places the organism in Bacteria, Pseudomonadati, Pseudomonadota, Gammaproteobacteria, Chromatiales, Ectothiorhodospiraceae.
AGAGUCCCGACAUGGUAAGGGUUAACCACCCACCAUUACCGAGUGUUGCGCCUCUGGCGGAACGGUGCCUUGGUCGUGAAGAUUGGGGCGUGCGUGAACAAGAGAGGUGAAGCGAACAUAGGGUAUGUUGCAGGCGGUUUGGAGACCUAGCUCCUUAGAUGGAAUCGCUUCGAAAUGAACAGUCCCGGUUGGCCAGCGUUGUAACUUGCGUGAAGCCCAUACGAAGCAAGCGCAUUGGUUAGCCUGUAGCGAGCCGGCGGAGUUCUCAAUCU